GAAAACGACUGCUAAGACUGGAUAGGAGACAAGAAGGCAUCUUCUUGUUUUUAAAAGACCUAGCAAUAGGUAUGCUUAGGGAGGAGCUUGCGUCACAUUAGUUAGUUGGUGGGGUAAAGGCCUACCAAGACUAUGAUGUGUAGCCGGGCUGAGAGGUUGAACGGCCACAUUGGGACUGAGACACGGCCCAAACUCCUACGGGAGGCAGCAGUAGGGAAUUUUCGGCAAUGGAGGAAACUCUGACCGAGCAACGCCGCGUGAACGAUGAAGUAUUUCGGUACGUAAAGUUCUUUUAUUAGGGAAGAAUAAAUGAUGGAAAAAUCAUUCUGACGGUACCUAAUGAAUAAGCCCCGGCUAACUAUGUGCCAGCAGCCGCGGUAAUACAUAGGGGGCAAGCGUUAUCCGGAAUUAUUGGGCGUAAAGGGUGCGUAGGCGGUUAAAUAAGUUUAUGGUCUAAGUGCAAUGCUCAACAUUGUGAUGCUAUAAAAACUGUUUAGCUAGAGUAAGAUAGAGGCAAGUGGAAUUCCAUGUGUAGUGGUAAAAUGCGUAAAUAUAUGGAGGAACACCAGUAGCGAAGGCGGCUUGCUGGGUCUUUACUGACGCUGAGGCACGAAAGCGUGGGGAGCAAACAGGAUUAGAUACCCUGGUAGUCCACGCCGUAAACGAUGAGUACUAAACGUUGGGUAAAACCAGUGUUGAAGUUAACACAUUAAGUACUCCGCCUGAGUAGUACGUACGCAAGUAUGAAACUUAAAGGAAUUGACGGGACUCCGCACAAGCGGUGGAUCAUGUUGUUUAAUUCGAAGGUACCCGAAAAACCUCACCAGGUCUUGACAUGCUUCUGCAAAGCUGUAGAAACACAGUGGAGGUUAUCAGUUGCACAGGUGGUGCAUGGUUGUCGUCAGCUCGUGUCGUGAGAUGUUGGGUUAAGUCCCGCAACGAGCGCAACCCUUAUUGUUAGUUACCAGCACGUAAUGGUGGGGACUUUAGCAAGACUGCCGGUGAUAAAUUGGUGGAAGGUGGGGACGACGUCAAAUCAUCAUGCCCCUUAUGACCUGGGCUACAAACGUGAUACAAUGGCUGUUACAAAGGGUAGCUGAAACGCAAGUUUUUGGCGAAUCUCAAAAAAACAGUCUCAGUUCGGAUUGAAGUCUGCAACUCGACUUCAUGAAGUUGGAAUCGCUAGUAAUCGCGAAUCAGCAUGUCGCGGUGAAUACGUUCUCGGGGUUUGUACACACCGCCCGUC
This 1246-nucleotide ribosomal RNA is filed under the name 'Vaccinium corymbosum' phytoplasma. RNAcentral's name for it is "bacterial SSU rRNA". It matches the Rfam family "Bacterial small subunit ribosomal RNA", at positions 152 to 1398 of the family's 1533-position model. Lineage: Bacteria; Bacillati; Mycoplasmatota; Mollicutes; Acholeplasmatales; Acholeplasmataceae. The record is from RNAcentral.